GAACGCUGGCGGCAGGCCUAACACAUGCAAGUCGAGCGGUAGAGAGAAGCUUGCUUCUCUUGAGAGCGGCGGACGGGUGAGUAAUGCCUAGGAAUCUGCCUGGUAGUGGGGGAUAACGUUCGGAAACGGACGCUAAUACCGCAUACGUCCUACGGGAGAAAGCAGGGGACCUUCGGGCCUUGCGCUAUCAGAUGAGCCUAGGUCGGAUUAGCUAGUUGGUGGGGUAAUGGCUCACCAAGGCGACGAUCCGUAACUGGUCUGAGAGGAUGAUCAGUCACACUGGAACUGAGACACGGUCCAGACUCCUACGGGAGGCAGCAGUGGGGAAUAUUGGACAAUGGGCGAAAGCCUGAUCCAGCCAUGCCGCGUGUGUGAAGAAGGUCUUCGGAUUGUAAAGCACUUUAAGUUGGGAGGAAGGGCAGUAAAUUAAUACUUUGCUGUUUUGACGUUACCGACAGAAUAAGCACCGGCUAACUCUGUGCCAGCAGCCGCGGUAAUACAGAGGGUGCAAGCGUUAAUCGGAAUUACUGGGCGUAAAGCGCGCGUAGGUGGUUAGUUAAGUUGGAUGUGAAAUCCCCGGGCUCAACCUGGGAACUGCAUUCAAAACUGACUGACUAGAGUAUGGUAGAGGGUGGUGGAAUUUCCUGUGUAGCGGUGAAAUGCGUAGAUAUAGGAAGGAACACCAGUGGCGAAGGCGACCACCUGGACUG
RNAcentral lists this ribosomal RNA (710 nucleotides) under Pseudomonas brenneri. Its description in RNAcentral is "bacterial SSU rRNA". It matches the Rfam family "Bacterial small subunit ribosomal RNA", at positions 31 to 736 of the family's 1533-position model. The record is from RNAcentral. Lineage: Bacteria; Pseudomonadati; Pseudomonadota; Gammaproteobacteria; Pseudomonadales; Pseudomonadaceae.